UUUGGAAAAAGGCAAACCUAUAGAAAUAUAGGGACGCAAAGCCACAGGUCUAAGGAAGUGAUGCUUCUAUGACGGCUGGGCUGCCCGG
Molecule: non-coding RNA, 88 nt
Filed under: Paramaledivibacter caminithermalis
Lineage: Bacteria; Bacillati; Bacillota; Clostridia; Peptostreptococcales; Caminicellaceae
Also listed under: 1 other name
Description: Clostridium caminithermale c-di-GMP sequence
Rfam family: c-di-GMP-I riboswitch aptamer
About the family: GEMM was predicted in a large-scale screen for bacterial structured RNA regulatory elements. Genes associated with GEMM are involved in a diverse array of functions, including chemotaxis regulation, signal transduction, secretion and chitin.
Source: RNAcentral